Molecule: long non-coding RNA, 3574 nt
Organism: Columba livia (rock pigeon)
Lineage: Eukaryota; Metazoa; Chordata; Aves; Columbiformes; Columbidae
Exons: 4
Source: RefSeq, a predicted model, not a curated record
CAGAUCUGAAAGCAUCUUCUCAAAAUGGCAAGUGAGGUGGUUUACGCCGAGGUAUCACACAAGGAAAGAGUGCAUUUUACUUCACAAACUUCAGACACAGGUGAUCUAACCACAUACGCUGAGGUGAAUGUGAAACAGAGAUCCGACAGACCUGAUAGCACACCCAAAACUACACAUACAGUGACCUGCUUGGAGAACUCACCCUGGUGUUACAUUGCUGUCAUCUUGUACUUCACUGCAGUGAUUCUGCUCAUCACUGUCAUCCUCUUGGCAGUGAAAUGUCACCAUCUCUGAGGCAGAUCCUGCUGUCUUGCUGAUGUACAGGCUCAUCAUGGGAAGGCUCUGCUUCGUCAACAAAAGAAGACAUAAUGCUUGUUUACUUUUACAUUAUUUUUUCUGAAGAGACCUUUGCAAAAGAAGACAUGCCAUCAGUCUGAUCACUGUUCAGUUAUGUUUGCUGGGGUCUCCAUUAAACCUCUAACUUCUCUAUAUAUGGACAAAACAUGUAUUAUUACUUUUAUUUGGAAUCUGCUUAAUCCUGUAAUACCAGCAACCAUCAAACAAUAUCAGUGCAUGUAACAAGGAAUAGGCUCAAGCUGCUACAUCAAAAGUUGGGUUUGGAUCUUGUCUAGACAACACAGAUGACCAAGUGGACCAAUUUGAGACAUCGCUUUUAAUUCACACCUGGCUUGAUUUUCCAAUAAUUUGCAAUAUAGAUAAGCUUUGCUAUUUCAAUAUUUGCAAGUACAAGAAUUUGUAGAUGAAACAGAGAAUGUGAAAGGUUCAACUUUUUAUGAAGCCCAGAUUUAGAUGUGAUUUUUCAUCUCCUGAGAGCCUUUAGUGGGAUUUCUAUUAAAGGGGUAUUGAAGGUACAAGAAACUAUAUUAAUUUGGUAGAGAAGUCUCAGACUCAUGCCCCUAUAGGCUUGAAUAAAAUUAUUGUGUUCUACUUGUCCAGAAAGUAUCUCACAGAGAUACAAUAUGCUGUUUCUUUCUUGGGUCAGUAAUUAAUUUUGUAUUUGUUUUUGUUUCUUUCCGAAAUGCUGUACCUUCAGCUAAAUCAGAGUCCUCCACUAGAACUAACCCACUUCAAGUUCAAAUGCAUUUAUUUGUUAUUACAUUGCUGUCUUUUUUUCAUAUUAUUUUCAGUUCUUAUCAACUAUGUUAUAACUUCUUGGGGGCAGGCUGAUAUCAGUGAUAUUCAGACCCUGAGCAGGAGGGGUCUGUGUAGCAAUUAUUUCUAAACUUUUUGCCUGUAUCUAAGCUUAUCUGUAUUUAAGUCAUGCUGUUGCUGUUGAUAAUGUACCACAUUUUUAUAGUAUAUGCACCAGAAAUCAAGAAAGAGAUUUAGUAAAGCUCUUGACAUGCUGGUGUUUGUUCUUACAUUAGUCAGACUAGAAGAAAAAUAAAAUUUGUACUUGUAUCGCUGUAACACCUCUGAACUGUUGUAAUGAAGCAGGAUGCUGGUCUGUUAAGUGCAGUCUAAAGACAGAAUCACUGCCCAACAGAACCCAGCAUGAAAGGAAUAUUAGAACACAAUGGCUACAUUUUUCUAGAGAUCACCCUUUUGUUUGCCAGGUGCUCUGGGAUAAAUCCAGGUCAUCAAACACCACUGGAUAAAGAAAUCUUUAAAAAACAGACAUAAUAAAAGAAGAAGCAUCCGAUGGCAUUUUGAUCUGAAAUGGAUCUGCACGUUGUUGUCAUUUACUAACAUGAUCUGAUCUUAGCUGGAAGAUCCUUAAGAUAGUUGUCUUUCACAUCAGACUCUCAGAUAACCCUUACAACCAAAUGAAAUUGCCAGUCCAAAUUAAUUAGCUCCAGCUUUCUUUAGAAUCAAGAAAAAUUCCAUAGUCUUUGGGAGCUAAAGUGAUGUGGUCUUGCAUAUACAAUUGUUCAGAUAUAGCAGGUUAUUGAAAAAGAACAUGCAGCAGCAGCAGUCAUUAGUUCCUGGCACACGGGCCCUACCAAGUAGAAAGUCUUAAUUUCAGAACCGGGAGCUGAACUGAAGGCACAUCCACCCAGAUGCUGCGUAUGCAAAUGCAGAAAUGGGAGAUAGAUACAUUUCAAGACCAAUUAGAAAUCAUCACUGACUGUAAGACUGGGACUCACUGCAGAUAACCAGGUCCUCCGUUGCUGCAGGCAGAUCUCCAGGAAUUUUAAUGGCAGGUCCUAGCAUCUGAAAGGGAAUCAUUUGCAUUGCGUAGACAACUGGGUAAGAAGCAUGCAUAUACUGUAUGCUGACCAGUCACUCUGAAGGAGAGAAAAAUAUUCUUAUCAAAAUAAGAAGUUGUUAACUAAAACCAAAGUGACUGGAUUUUCUGUUUACUGAGAAUUUGGGACAUUGGCUUGUGGUGUUGGCAAUGCACCAUAGCAUUUAAGACAAGUUUAACAAACUUCCAUCUGAAUUUAAUGCUCUGCAGGCAGAUGGUAUAAUUGUGUUCACUGAAUUUGGCGGAGUUUGUCCAUGUUUUUAAUCUAUUUAGCAUCUUUGAAAUGGAAAUAUUUCCUGGCUGAUGGCUCUUGGCAGACAGAAAGCUAUGGAUGGUGGAUAGGCAGGUGUGCAUCAGGCUCCUGUGGAUUCCCGUUAAGCUCCAGUUACUUCUUGGCUUGUGGAGCCACACCAGCUGAUCAGCUCUGCGCUUCAUUCUCAUCCUAACAAUACUAAGGAUAUGGGCAAACAAAAUGCCUCUCUACUUCCAUCUGUUUCGUGCUCAUCACACUCCUGCUCUCAAAUGUAAAGGCAAAAUACUCUUUGACACAGUUUGAGAGGAAAUGUUAGCAAAUUGUUUAAACAAGGUUGCCUGGUCAUUGUUUGUAUAUAUGACAUUAUACAUAUUACACAUGAUAUCUAAAAAAUCAUAUGUGACUGUAAAUCUGGCACUAGGGAGUUGUCUUUUUCUCCUUUGUUUCUUGCCCCAUUCCUUUUCUCUGGAGAGUUCCUGAUUUUCUUAUAUUGCAUUCUCUCUUCCUCUGUCUUCAGACACAUCCCAGAGCUAUGUGUGACACUCAUUCCUGCUGUUCUGGCCUUUUUUUUUUUCCCCUGGCUUUUCAGCCCUUGCUGAAGCACCAUCCCUUUUAUUUUUGGACACAGUAAUGCAUGUGUAAAGACCGAAGGAGACAAAUAAAAGAAUGAAGACAAGCCAUGGCUUUGGUAACUUGCACAGGCUAGAACAAACAUUUUAGGACCUUGAUGAAUGUAAAUAUAAAAAUGUAAGAAGAAUAAAGAAAAUACUAAACUAGGAGAAGCUUCAAAUAAUUUUAUUUGGAAAUUCAACAGACUCUUUUUAAAGGUUGCAGUGUGGGAAUAGGAGGGAUGGGAGCUCAUAUGGAGAAGGAGGUACUACCAUUCAUAUUUCCAACCCUGUACACCUUCUUCCCUAGGCAGCAAAAUUCUGAGCUAGCAGAAUACUCAAUAUUCAGGCUUUGCCUAGCAAUUCUCACCACUGCAUCAAUUCCCGAGAGAAGCUGUAACAAAGUCCACUUAUGUGGAAAGCAAGAGAAUUAUAUUCUGGCUAAUACCUGGCAUCAAGACACCAGUGUGAGAAGCAGCUGAUUUACCUGCCUCUACAGGCAGG